RNAcentral lists this long non-coding RNA (639 nucleotides) under Pongo abelii (Sumatran orangutan). RNAcentral's name for it is "lincRNA". The record is from RNAcentral. Lineage: Eukaryota; Metazoa; Chordata; Mammalia; Primates; Hominidae.
ACUGCAAGCCGCCUAAAUGCAGGGCUUUUAAUGAUAUUCCCCGCCAACAAGGCAUGAGGGUGGGGCUUGCCUCCAUCUGGCCCUCCUGCCACCUUCAACAACACACCCCACAUCCGAUCCUGCUUAGAGUCAAAGAUGAAUCUGGCAUACUACAAAGAGCACUGGACUGGAAGCGCGAAGUUUCUCUUAUCUGUGCCUUGGUUUCCUCAUGUGGAAAAUGAAAAUGUUGACAUAAAUAAUCCCACAGGUCUCUGUUAGUACCAUUUUGUGAUUUUAUAUCGUGCUUACCACACCUAGAAACAGGGGCCAUCAUUCCAGCCAGCUAACAGAGAAAAAGAAGAUACAUAAUCGGGCUUAGGAAAAUAAAUCUUGGAGACCAAGUAAACAAAGACAACAAUCUAGUAUAAGUGUUAUAACUGGGGGAUGAGGGGUUGCAAAUGGAGAUCCGCCACAGUCAACUCUUCUUGAAUUCCCCUGUUCUCAACAGGCAACAGCAAUCAUAAUGGGCUUGGAGCACCAGUCCCACAACAUCACAAGACAUCCAGACAUAAUUGCAUUAAUAAUGUUGUGCAUAAUCGCACAACUAUCCGGUUAUUCGGCACCAUCCAAUAUGUGAAUAAAGCUCUUAGGAAAAAUUAA